UUGGUUCCUAGUGAUCACAACGACCAAUUUUCAUCGAAAACACGAUAUGUUAAUAGGUUUUCAGCAGAUUCAUCUCCUGCUUUACUACCUGCUCCUCAUCAGGUUGUGGUUUUGAGGGUGUCCCUCCACUGCAAGGGAUGUGAAGCUAAAGUCAGGAAACAUGUCUCCAGAAUGGAAGGGGUGACAUCUUUUAAUAUCGAUUUUGCGAAUAAAAAA
Molecule: long non-coding RNA, 216 nt
Organism: Papaver somniferum (opium poppy)
Lineage: Eukaryota; Viridiplantae; Streptophyta; Magnoliopsida; Ranunculales; Papaveraceae
Exons: 3
Source: RefSeq, a predicted model, not a curated record